Molecule: ribosomal RNA, 406 nt
Filed under: uncultured bacterium
Lineage: Bacteria
Description: partial 16S ribosomal RNA
Rfam family: Bacterial small subunit ribosomal RNA
Source: RNAcentral
AUUGAACGCUGGCGGCAGGCCUAACACAUGCAAGUCGAACGAGUGGCGGACGGGUGAGUAAUGUAUGGGAAACUGCCUGAUGGAGGGGGAUAACUACUGGAAACGGUAGCUAAUACCGCAUACCCUCGGAUGUGCCCAGAUGGGCUUAGCUAGUAGGUGGGGUAAAGGCUCACCUAGGCGACGAUCCCUAGCUGGUCUGAGAGGAUGACCAGCCACACUGGAACGGAGACACGGGCCAGGCUCCUACGGGAGGCAGCAGUGGGGAAUAUUGCACAAUGGGCGCAAGCCUGAUGCAGCGAUGCCGAGUGUAUGAAGAAGGCCGUCGGGUUGUAAAGUACUUUCAGCGGGGAGGCGUUACCCGCAGAAGAAGCACCGGCUAACUCCGUGCCAGCAGCCGCGGUAAUUC